This 498-nucleotide ribosomal RNA is filed under the name uncultured bacterium. RNAcentral's name for it is "partial 16S ribosomal RNA". It matches the Rfam family "Bacterial small subunit ribosomal RNA", at positions 29 to 523 of the family's 1533-position model. The record is from RNAcentral.
AUUGAACGCUGGCGGCAUGCCUUACACAUGCAAGUCGAACGGUAACGCGGGGCAACCUGGCGACGAGUGGCGAACGGGUGAGUAAAGCAUCGGAACGUGCCCAGUAGUGGGGGAUAGCCCGGCGAAAGCCGGAUUAAUACCGCAUACGACCUAUGGGUGAAAGGGGGGGAUCGCAAGACCUCUCGCUAUUGGAGCGGCCGAUGUCAGAUUAGGUAGUUGGUGGGGUAAAGGCCUACCAAGCCGACGAUCUGUAGCUGGUCUGAGAGGACGACCAGCCACACUGGGACGGAGACACGGCCCAGACUCCGACGGGAGGCAGCAGUGGGGAAUUUUGGACAAUGGGCGCAAGCCUGAUCCAGCCAUGCCGCGUGCGGGAAGAAGGCCUUCGGGUUGUAAACCGCUUUUGUCAGGGAAGAAAUCCUUUGGGUUAAUACCUCGGGGGGAUGACGGUACCUGAAGAAUAAGCACCGGCUAACUACGUGCCAGCCGCCGCAGUAA